Long non-coding RNA from Globicephala melas (long-finned pilot whale), 675 nucleotides. RefSeq lists it as uncharacterized. The record is from RefSeq and is a predicted model, not a curated record. Lineage: Eukaryota; Metazoa; Chordata; Mammalia; Artiodactyla; Delphinidae.
UCGUAUUUUAACGUAUUAUGCAGAGUCUCGGCUCGAGACUGCUUCACAAAGCCGGAGAGGCCAGAUCAAUUCCCGGUCAGACCCACGUGCAGGGGUCUGCCUGCUGCGAGGUAAAGACAGGGGGAGCGCCGCGAGCCGACCCGGUUCCUAAAGAUGUGGAUAAAAUCAGCGAAGACCAGACGGAUAGAAACACCGUAGACGUCAGAGAUAGGUGCUGAAAAGCCGGUGUCAAGUUCGUGCUGCAAGUGGAUACCCAGCCAGGGACGACACGCCUCACCUUCCACCCCGCCCCCCAGCCCGCCGUGGCGCACACGCGCGCAUGCGUGCUUACAUCUUGGGCGCAACACCUGUGGAAGGAAAGGGAGGGAAGCAGAAUGGGCAGGGGAAGAAGUUGAGCUGGCGUGCGCCCUCAGUCAAGGCCUUGGCCGACCCCAGGUGGAGCUCAAGAGCGGAAAUGACCCCGCAGAGUUGUCCUCAGUCUUUCUGGGACUUCUCUGGUGGCACAGUGGUUAAGAAUCCGCCUGCCAACGCAGGGGACAAGGGUUUGAUCCCUGGCCCGGGAAGAUCCCACAUGCCACAGAGCAACUAAGCCCGUGUACCACAACUACUGAGCCUGCACUCUACAGCCCCUGAGCCACAACUACUGAGCCCACGUGCCACAACUACUGGAGCCCA